Streptomyces sp. Ncost-T10-10d is the source of this 87-nucleotide regulatory RNA element. It matches the Rfam family "NLPC-P60 RNA". NCBI's taxonomy places the organism in Bacteria, Bacillati, Actinomycetota, Actinomycetes, Kitasatosporales, Streptomycetaceae. The record is from Rfam.
CGGUUCUUGCAUCUCGUGACACCGAGUGACCGUAUUUGAUGCGCUCACUCAUGGGGAAGUCCCAUGACUCGCCCCGUCACCGGAGGU